This 2967-nucleotide ribosomal RNA is filed under the name Staphylococcus epidermidis. RNAcentral describes it as "23S ribosomal RNA". It matches the Rfam family "Bacterial large subunit ribosomal RNA". Lineage: Bacteria; Bacillati; Bacillota; Bacilli; Caryophanales; Staphylococcaceae. The record is from RNAcentral.
GAUUAAGUUAUUAAGGGCGCACGGUGGAUGCCUUGGCACUAGAAGCCGAUGAAGGACGUUACUAACGACGAUAUGCUUUGGGUAGCUGUAAGUAAGCGUUGAUCCAGAGAUUUCCGAAUGGGGGAACCCAGCAUGAGUUAUGUCAUGUUAUCGACAUGUGAAUUCAUAGCAUGUCAGAAGGCAGACCCGGAGAACUGAAACAUCUUAGUACCCGGAGGAAGAGAAAGAAAAAUCGAUUCCCUGAGUAGCGGCGAGCGAAACGGGAAGAGCCCAAACCAACAAGCUUGCUUGUUGGGGUUGUAGGACACUCUAUACGGAGUUACAAAAGAACAUGUUAGACGAAUCAUCUGGAAAGAUGAAUCAAAGAAGGUAAUAAUCCUGUAGUCGAAAACAUAUUCUCUCUUGAGUGGAUCCUGAGUACGACGGAGCACGUGAAAUUCCGUCGGAAUCUGGGAGGACCAUCUCCUAAGGCUAAAUACUCUCUAGUGACCGAUAGUGAACCAGUACCGUGAGGGAAAGGUGAAAAGUACCCCGGAAGGGGAGUGAAAGAGAACUUGAAACCGUGUGCUUACAAGUAGUCAGAGCCCGUUAAUGGGUGAUGGCGUGCCUUUUGUAGAAUGAACCGGCGAGUUACGAUCUGAUGCAAGGUUAAGCAGCAAAUGUGGAGCCGCAGCGAAAGCGAGUCUGAAUAGGGCGUUGAGUAUUUGGUCGUAGACCCGAAACCAGGUGAUCUACCCUUGGUCAGGUUGAAGUUCAGGUAACACUGAAUGGAGGACCGAACCGACUUACGUUGAAAAGUGAGCGGAUGAACUGAGGGUAGCGGAGAAAUUCCAAUCGAACUUGGAGAUAGCUGGUUCUCUCCGAAAUAGCUUUAGGGCUAGCCUCAAGUGAUGAUUAUUGGAGGUAGAGCACUGUUUGGACGAGGGGCCCCUCUCGGGUUACCGAAUUCAGACAAACUCCGAAUGCCAAUUAAUUUAACUUGGGAGUCAGAACAUGGGUGAUAAGGUCCGUGUUCGAAAGGGAAACAGCCCAGACCACCAGCUAAGGUCCCAAAAUAUAUGUUAAGUGGAAAAGGAUGUGGCGUUGCCCAGACAACUAGGAUGUUGGCUUAGAAGCAGCCAUCAUUUAAAGAGUGCGUAAUAGCUCACUAGUCGAGUGACACUGCGCCGAAAAUGUACCGGGGCUAAACAUAUUACCGAAGCUGUGGAUUGUCCUUUGGACAAUGGUAGGAGAGCGUUCUAAGGGCGUCGAAGCAUGAUCGCAAGGACAUGUGGAGCGCUUAGAAGUGAGAAUGCCGGUGUGAGUAGCGAAAGACGGGUGAGAAUCCCGUCCACCGAUUGACUAAGGUUUCCAGAGGAAGGCUCGUCCGCUCUGGGUUAGUCGGGUCCUAAGCUGAGGCCGACAGGCGUAGGCGAUGGAUAACAGGUUGAUAUUCCUGUACCACCUAGUAUCGUUUUAAUUGAUGGGGGGACGCAGUAGGAUAGGCGAAGCGUGCUGUUGGAGUGCACGUCCAAGCAGUAAGGCUGAGUGUUAGGCAAAUCCGGCACUCAUAAGGCUGAGCUGUGAUGGGGAGAGGAAAUUGUUUCCUCGAGUCGUUGAUUUCACACUGCCGAGAAAAGCCUCUAGAUAGAUAACAGGUGCCCGUACCGCAAACCGACACAGGUAGUCAAGAUGAGAAUUCUAAGGUGAGCGAGCGAACUCUCGUUAAGGAACUCGGCAAAAUGACCCCGUAACUUCGGGAGAAGGGGUGCUCUUUAGGGUUCACGCCCAGAAGAGCCGCAGUGAAUAGGCCCAAGCGACUGUUUAUCAAAAACACAGGUCUCUGCUAAACCGUAAGGUGAUGUAUAGGGGCUGACGCCUGCCCGGUGCUGGAAGGUUAAGAGGAGUGGUUAGCUUCUGCGAAGCUACGAAUCGAAGCCCCAGUAAACGGCGGCCGUAACUAUAACGGUCCUAAGGUAGCGAAAUUCCUUGUCGGGUAAGUUCCGACCCGCACGAAAGGCGUAACGAUUUGGGCACUGUCUCAACGAGAGACUCGGUGAAAUGGCGUAACGAUUUGGGCACUGUCUCAACGAGAGACUCGGUGAAAUCAUAGUACCUGUGAAGAUGCAGGUUACCCGCGACAGGACGGAAAGACCCCGUGGAGCUUUACUGUAGCCUGAUAUUGAAAUUCGGCACAGCUUGUACAGGAUAGGUAGGAGCCUUUGAAACGUGAGCGCUAGCUUACGUGGAGGCGUUGGUGGGAUACUACCCUAGCUGUGUUGGCUUUCUAACCCGCACCACUUAUCGUGGUGGGAGACAGUGUCAGGCGGGCAGUUUGACUGGGGCGGUCGCCUCCUAAAAGGUAACGGAGGCGCUCAAAGGUUCCCUCAGAAUGGUUGGAAAUCAUUCAUAGAGUGUAAAGGCAUAAGGGAGCUUGACUGCGAGACCUACAAGUCGAGCAGGGUCGAAAGACGGACUUAGUGAUCCGGUGGUUCCGCAUGGAAGGGCCAUCGCUCAACGGAUAAAAGCUACCCCGGGGAUAACAGGCUUAUCUCCCCCAAGAGUUCACAUCGACGGGGAGGUUUGGCACCUCGAUGUCGGCUCAUCGCAUCCUGGGGCUGUAGUCGGUCCCAAGGGUUGGGCUGUUCGCCCAUUAAAGCGGUACGCGAGCUGGGUUCAGAACGUCGUGAGACAGUUCGGUCCCUAUCCGUCGUGGGCGUAGGAAAUUUGAGAGGAGCUGUCCUUAGUACGAGAGGACCGGGAUGGACAUACCUCUGGUGUACCAGUUGUCGUGCCAACGGCAUAGCUGGGUAGCUAUGUAUGGACGGGAUAAGUGCUGAAAGCAUCUAAGCAUGAAGCCCCCCUCAAGAUGAGAUUUCCCAACUUCGGUUAUAAGAUCCCUCGAAGAUGACGAGGUUAAUAGGUUCGAGGUGGAAGCGUGGUGACACGUGGAGCUGACGAAUACUAAUCGAUCGAAGACUUAAUCAA